GACGAACGCUGGCGGCGUGCCUAAUACAUGCAAGUAGAACGCUGAAGGAGGAGCUUGCUUCUCUGGAUGAGUUGCGAACGGGUGAGUAACGCGUAGGUAACCUGCCUGGUAGCGGGGGAUAACUAUUGGAAACGAUAGCUAAUACCGCAUAAUAUUGACUAUUGCAUGAUAGUCAGUUGAAAGGUGCAACUGCACCACUACCAGAUGGACCUGCGUUGUAUUAGCUAGUUGGGGGGGUAACGGCUCACCAAGGCGACGAUACAUAGCCGACCUGAGAGGGUGAUCGGCCACACUGGGACGGAGACACGGCCCAGACUCCUACGGGAGGCAGCAGUAGGGAAUCUUCGGCAAUGGACGGAAGUCUGACCGAGCAACGCCGCGUGAGUGAAGAAGGUUUUCGGAUCGUAAAGCUCUGUUGUAAGAGAAGAACGAGUGUGAGAGUGGAAAGCUCACACUGUGACGGUAUCUUACCAGAAAGGGACGGCUAACUACGUG
Molecule: ribosomal RNA, 495 nt
Filed under: uncultured bacterium
Lineage: Bacteria
Description: partial 16S ribosomal RNA
Rfam family: Bacterial small subunit ribosomal RNA
Source: RNAcentral